GUGGUUAUGGCUCAGUUGGUAAAGCACAUGCCUUGAAAGCAUAAAGACUUGAGUUUGAUCACU
Molecule: transfer RNA, 63 nt
Filed under: Mesocricetus auratus (golden hamster)
Lineage: Eukaryota; Metazoa; Chordata; Mammalia; Rodentia; Cricetidae
Rfam family: tRNA
About the family: Transfer RNA (tRNA) molecules are approximately 80 nucleotides in length. Their secondary structure includes four short double-helical elements and three loops (D, anti-codon, and T loops).
Source: Rfam by way of RNAcentral